AAUCAACGCUGGCGGCGUGCCUCAGACAUGCAAGUCGAACGCGAAAGUUCCCUUCGGGGGAUGAGUAGAGUGGCGCACGGGUGAGUAACACGUAGGUAAUCUACCUUCGGAUGGGGAAUAACAACCGGAAACGGUUGCUAAUACCGCAUAAUGCAGCGGCACCUAAUGGUGACAGUUGUUAAAGCGGGGGAGUCGAAAGACCUCGCGUCUGAAGAGGAGCCUGCGGCGGAUUAGCUAGUUGGUAGGGCAACGGCCUACCAAGGCUACGAUCCGUAGCCGGCCUGAGAGGGCGGUCGGCCACACUGACACUGACAUACGGGUCAGACUCCUACGGGAGGCAGCAGU
Molecule: ribosomal RNA, 345 nt
Filed under: uncultured bacterium
Lineage: Bacteria
Description: bacterial SSU rRNA
Rfam family: Bacterial small subunit ribosomal RNA
Source: RNAcentral